RNAcentral lists this transfer RNA (66 nucleotides) under Scolytinae sp. BMNH 1039896. Its description in RNAcentral is "tRNA-Tyr". Lineage: Eukaryota; Metazoa; Arthropoda; Insecta; Coleoptera; Curculionidae. The record is from RNAcentral.
GGUAAAAUGGCUGAUGAUAGGUGAUAGAUUGUAAAUUUAUUUAUAAAGAUAAUUCUUUUUUUGCCA